This is a non-coding RNA of Asellus aquaticus, 163 nucleotides long. The record is from Rfam. NCBI's taxonomy places the organism in Eukaryota, Metazoa, Arthropoda, Malacostraca, Isopoda, Asellidae.
AUACUUACCUGGCACAGGGGAUACCACGAUCACCAAGGUGGUUCCCCCAAGACGAGGCUCACCAUUGCACUCCGGUGGCGCUGACCCUUGCAAUGACCCCAAAUGUGGGUUACUCGGGUGUGUAAUUUCUGUUAGCUGGGGACUGCGUUCGCGCUUUCCCCUU